RNAcentral lists this ribosomal RNA (195 nucleotides) under uncultured bacterium. RNAcentral describes it as "partial 16S ribosomal RNA". It matches the Rfam family "Bacterial small subunit ribosomal RNA", at positions 338 to 524 of the family's 1533-position model. RNAcentral also lists the same sequence under 1 other name. The record is from RNAcentral.
CCUACGGGAGGCAGCAGUGGGGAAUAUUGGACAAUGGGCGAAAGCCUGAUCCAGCCAUGCCGCGUGUGUGAAGAAGGCCUUUUGGUUGUAAAGCACUUUAAGCGAGGAGGAGGCUACUUAGAUUAAUACUCUAGGAUAGUGGACGUUACUCGCAGAAUAAGCACCGGCUAACUCUGUGCCAGCAGCCGCGGUAAU